RNAcentral lists this ribosomal RNA (1314 nucleotides) under uncultured rumen bacterium. Its description in RNAcentral is "partial 16S ribosomal RNA". It matches the Rfam family "Bacterial small subunit ribosomal RNA", at positions 101 to 1427 of the family's 1533-position model. The record is from RNAcentral.
AACGGCUGAGUAACACGUGGGCAACCUGCCCCCCUCAUCGGGAUAGCCUCGGGAAACCGUGGGUAAUACCGAAUACUCCGGCACCCCCGCAUGGGGGAGCCGGGAAAGCUCCGGCGGAGGGGGAUGGGCCCGCGGCCUGUUAGCUUGUUGGCGGGGUAACGGCCCACCAAGGCGAUUAUGGGUAGCCGGGUUGAGAGACCGACCGGCCAGAUUGGGACUGAGACACGGCCCAGACUCCUACGGGAGGCAGCAGUGGGGAAUCUUGCACAAUGGGCGAAAGCCUGAUGCAGCGACGCCGCGUGCGGGACGAAGGCCUUCGGGUUGUAAACCGCUUUCAGCAGGGACGAGGCCGCAAGGUGACGGUACCUGCAGAAGAAGCCCCGGCUAACUACGUGCCAGCAGCCGCGGUAAUACGUAGGGGGCGAGCGUUAUCCGGAUUCAUUGGGCGUAAAGCGCGCGUAGGCGGCCUGUUAGGUCGGGAGUCAAAUCCGGGGGCUCAACCCCCGCCCGCUUCCGAUACCGGCAGGCUUGAGUCUGGUAGGGGAAGGUGGAAUUCCCAGUGUAGCGGUGAAAUGCGUUGAUAUCCUGUAGAACACCGGAGGCGAAGGCGGAUUCCUUGAACGGUACUGACGCUGAGGCGCGAAAGUCGGGGGAGCAAACAGGAUUAGAUACCCUGGUAGUCCCGACCUUAAACGGUGCGCACUCGGGGUGGGGCCAUUUCACCGGCCCCGUCCCCAAGCUAACGCGAUAAGUGCGCCGCCUGGGGAGUACGGCCGCAAGGCUAAAACUCAAAGAAAUUGACGGGGGCCCGCACAAGCAGAGGAGCAUGUGGCUUAAUUCGAUGCAACGCGAAGAACCUUACCUGGGCUUGACAUGCAGCUGCAAGGCCUAUGAAAGUAGGCCGCCUUCGAGGGUGCUGCACAGGUGCUGCAUGGCUGUCGUCAGUUCGUGCCGUGAGGUGUUUGGUUAAGUCCACCAACGAACGCAACCCCUUUGGGAUGUUGCCAGCGGGUAAAGCCGGGAACUCGUCCCAGACUGCUUGUUCACGCAAGAGGAAGGUGGGGAUGACGUCAAGUCAGUAUGGCCCUUACGUCCAGGGCUGCACACGUGCUACAAUGGCCGGUACAGAGGGACCCGAUGCCGCGAGGCGGAGGAAACCCCAGAGAGCCGGCCCCAGUUCAGAUCGGGGUCUGCAACCCGACCCCGUGAAGUCGGAUUUGCUAGUAACGGCGCAUCAGCUACGGCGCCGUGAAUGCGUUCCCGGGCCUUGUACACACCGCCCGUCACAUCAUGAAAGCCGUCUGCACCCGAAGU